RNAcentral lists this ribosomal RNA (417 nucleotides) under uncultured archaeon. RNAcentral's name for it is "bacterial SSU rRNA". It matches the Rfam family "Archaeal small subunit ribosomal RNA", at positions 919 to 1335 of the family's 1478-position model. The record is from RNAcentral.
CGGAAAUCUCACCGGGGGCGACAGCAAUAUGAAGGUCAGGCUGAAGACCUUACCCGAUUAGCUGAGAGGUGGUGCAUGGCCGUCGUCAGUUCGUACUGUGAAGCAUCCUGUUAAGUCAGGCAACGAGCGAGACCCACGUCCACAGUUGCCAGCAUACCCUCCGGGGUGAUGGGUACACUGUGGAGACCGCCGCUGCUAAAGCGAAGGAAGGAGUGGGCAACGGUAGGUCAGUAUGCCCCGAAUCUCCCGGGCUACACGCGGGCUACAAUGGUUGGUACAAUGGGCAUCUACCCCGAAAGGGGAAGGAAAUCUCUUAAAGCCAAUCGUAGUUCGGAUUGAGGGCUGCAACUCGCCCUCAUGAAGCUGGAAUCCGUAGUAAUCGCGUUUCAACAGAACGCGGUGAAUACGUCCCUGCUC